Molecule: ribosomal RNA, 363 nt
Filed under: uncultured eukaryote
Lineage: Eukaryota
Description: partial 18S ribosomal RNA
Rfam family: Eukaryotic small subunit ribosomal RNA
Source: RNAcentral
CAAAAGCGUAUAUUAAAGUUGUUGCAGUUAAAAAGCUCGUAGUUGAACCUUGGGCUUGGCUGGCCGGUCCAUCUUUUUUGAUGCGUACUGGACCCAGCCGAGCCUUUCCUUCUGGCUAGCCUUUGGCGAACCAGGACUUUUACUUUGAAAAAAUUAGAGUGUUCAAAGCAGGCCUUUGCUCGAAUAUAUUAGCAUGGAAUAAUAGAAUAGGACGUUAUGGUUCUAUUUUGUUGGUUUCUAGGACCAUCGUAAUGAUUAAUAGGGACGGUCGGGGGUAUCAGUAUUCAGUUGUCAGAGGUGAAAUUCUUGGAUUUACUGAAGACUAACUACUGCGAAAGCAUUUACCAAGGACGUUUUCAUUAA